AGAUGCUCUCCCGGUGUCUGAUGGGAGAAUCCUGUGCCCGCAGCCCUGCGCUUCCCCAGGUGAACCGGGCAGGAGCCUGUUGGGAAGGCAGCGACCCACAUCUGUGUGCACCUUUGUGGAUUUCAGGUUCCGGACGCAGGCGACCAAGCCAGAGCCAACAUGCUACAGGCAGCUCCCCUUGGCCAAGCUCAUGAACUCCGGAGGGACUAGAGUAUACAAUCUGCACAGAGAAGUUCUUGUCUGGCUCCGAGUGUCCGUAUCGCGUGGCUGUAUCAUUUCAGAAAGCGUAUUCAAGGAGCGGUAAAUCCAGCAUUUAUUCUAAUUCCUUCACAUUUUAUGGCAGGGCUGAACCAACCAUAAAACAGAUUGACAGAUAUAGGGAGAACGAAAUCCUGUAUUUUACAAGCUAACGACUUUAUUUCAUUUCAUGUCAACGCCAAGGGUUGAUGAAUGGUUCUGGAAUUUCUGAACUGAGACGUUCCCCCCAGCUCCAGAGAUGGAGCAUUGCGAGAGCAAUGGUAGGAGUCCCAGCCCAAGCCAUCUAAUCUCCCCAAAUUACUCCCUAUUCAUUUUUCUUUGAGAUGGUUUAUUUAAUGAAGGCUGGAUACUCAGGUCUCCGGCUCUGCAGUGCCACCUAGAGGCUAAGCUGCUCCAGGUUAAAAAAUACUUCCACGACAAGGAGACAACAGUAAGCCCCAAAAUGAAGUUGGAGUUGUCUUUUCAUCAGAGGUUGAAGUCAUGAUCUUUGGAGCUGCAGAUAUUCCGGGAGGCCUUUUCCACGCCUGGGAGAGACGAGUAGAGACUCCGUGCAACCGGCUGCCAAUGAGGACCCAGGGCCGUGCCCUCCAAGGGGCAUCUUGCACCCUCUUCCCGUGACUCAGGAUGCUUAGGGGUCCUUAAUGAAAGCAGAAUGAAUCCUGCAUGUCCCCAGUAGCUUUGACCAGCCCGAUAGCGGCAGCUUCCGGGUGCUGCCCAUGACAGAGUGACCAUCCUGGAAAGGAGACCCGAUAAGGGCAGUGUCCCAUCCAAUGCCACAACAUGGCCCCCGCAGUUUCAUUGGUCCAAGUGUGUCCAGAAUUGGUGGGUUCUUGGUCUCACUGACUUCAAGAAUGAAGCCAUGGACCCUCGCGGGCCUCCAAAUCCUUCCUGGUUGUCUUCAGCUGCCUUCCCAGAGUCAGGUCUGUGGCUUGCCCCUAUCUGCAGUGGAUGGACAGUGUUUAUGGGCUCAUGAUCAGAAGACAGUGAAAAGGCCACAAGGAACGGAAAAGCAAAGUGGACACGAAGACAGACUCGGCUGGAGAAUCACGCCUGGCAUUCUCUGUAAUUUGAAUAAACCUGAAAGUGCACCGGUA
Molecule: long non-coding RNA, 1352 nt
Organism: Homo sapiens (human)
Lineage: Eukaryota; Metazoa; Chordata; Mammalia; Primates; Hominidae
Product: long intergenic non-protein coding RNA 2418
Source: Ensembl